This is a long non-coding RNA of Magnolia sinica, 1496 nucleotides long. RefSeq lists it as uncharacterized. The record is from RefSeq and is a predicted model, not a curated record. NCBI's taxonomy places the organism in Eukaryota, Viridiplantae, Streptophyta, Magnoliopsida, Magnoliales, Magnoliaceae. The transcript is spliced from 2 exons.
UCAGAUAUUCAAUCUUAUGUUCUCUCUUUUUGUGCGUGUGUGUGCGUGCGUGCGUGUGUGUGUGUGUGGCAUUUUCAAAUGCAAAUAUGCAUUUUACCAUGAGAGUGAUCCAAGUUGUUGAAGGUAAUUUCUAUAAAACUCAACCUUGGUUCUGAAAUCGGUCUCAUGAAAUCUGAAUUUGACUUAGCCAAGUCAAUAAACUACUCAUCAAUUUCGUAAAUGAAUGUUGUUGACUGCCGAGAUUUUUUUGAAUGUUGUUUUUAGGAUGUUUGGCCCGAAGGUUUGCCCCUUGGAAGUAGGGGGGGCAAUGGGUUGUGUUCAGGUCGGAUUAGUUUCCAGUUACGAGAAUGGAUCCAACACAAACGCAACCCAUUUAUUGACUGGGUUGAAAAUCUCAACCCCAAACUGACCUAUCUAUAAAUAGUUCAACCCAAACUCAACCCAACCCAACCCAACCCAACCCACCCAACUCAUUUAAUUAAAAAAUAAAAUAAUUGGAAAUAAAGAAUGUAGUCAUUUUCUAGAAAAAUAUAAAAAUAUAAACUCCAUAUUUAGAGCUCUUAAUUAAUAUAAAAUAAAAAACUUUUAUAUAAUCAAAUUACAACUAUCAUAACCAAGUUUAGAGUUUUUUAAACUUAUUAAAAUUAUAAUAUAUAAUGUGUACAUACAUACAUAGGGAUGGAGGGAGGGACCCAAACCCUGACUUUUCACAUUGGGUCCAGGUCAGGCCAACCCUAACCCAAACGCUGACUUUUCACAUUGGGUCUAGGUCGGGCCAAAAUUUUCUACCUCCACUUAGAGGCUGGGCACAUAGGGCUCAUCCCUUUGCUCAUCAUGUGGGGAUGCAGACCAUCCAUCUAGUAGGUCCUCCUUGGAAUUUGGAUGCCCUACAUAAUGAGAAUAGAGAACCUCAUAAUCCAUCCAUGUGUUGAAUCUGUUUUUGUUUCUAACCCACCUUUGCAAGGACAGCGAAGAUCUGUUAUUGAUGAGAUGUUUAUGUCAGUGGGAGCUUCUAGUGGAAUAUCCCAGUUCACCACAUGGUGGGCAAUUACCCCUUCAAAGGGACGACUCUCCCUACGUAUUUCUUGUUUUAUUUUAAGGAUUGAAUAAGCAGUGGAAUUGAAAUGACCCACCUGUUUAGUCUGCAUUCCUUUAGAUUGAUUAUUCAGCUGUCAUAUAACAUUUAAUAACUAAAUACUUGUUUUAGUGGAUGAGCAUUAAAUUCUCAUGUAAACCUUUGGUUGUUUGAACUUUUGGGCAUAAUUUUGGCCGACAUUCUAGAUCGUGUUGAGAUACAUGUUUUUCCUAUCCAACACCGUUCUUGACAUUCGGUAUUUGAUGUUUAUAGUUGCACUAGUCUCCUACUUAGGCUGUCACUUCCAUUAUUCACGAUGCAUAGAUAUUUCAGGAUGAGAGGUCUGCAUCUCAGGUUGUCUUUUCCCUUAAAUGAGACGCAAACGGGGAAUCUACCUGAAAGUCCUAAUUGUUUUUCUCUU